Molecule: ribosomal RNA, 407 nt
Filed under: uncultured bacterium
Lineage: Bacteria
Description: bacterial SSU rRNA
Rfam family: Bacterial small subunit ribosomal RNA
Source: RNAcentral
UGGGGAAUAUUGCGCAAUGGGCGGAAGCCUGACGCAGCGACGCCGCGUGGGGGAUGACGGCCUUCGGGUUGUAAACCUCUUUCGGCCCCGACAAAGCGUGAGUGACGGUAGGGGUAGAAGAAGCACCGGCCAACUACGUGCCAGCCGCCGCGGUAAUACGUAGGGUGCGAGCGUUGUCCGGAAUUAUUGGGCGUAAAGAGCUCGUAGGCGGUCUGUCGCGUCGAUCGUGAAAACUUGGGGCUUAACCCUGAGCUUGCGGUCGAUACGGGCAUGACUGGAGUUCGGCAGGGGAGACUGGAAUUCCUGGUGUAGCGGUGAAAUGCGCAGAUAUCAGGAGGAACACCGGUGGCGAAGGCGGGUCUCUGGGCCGAUACUGACGCUGAGGAGCGAAAGCGUGGGGAGCGAAC